UAGUAGAGACAUAAAGCAUAGAAGGUGUGAAUAAGCAGAGAAGUGAGAGAGAUGGAGGGGGAGAAGAAGAGGCGUCUGGUAUUGAUUCACGGAGCCUACCAUGGAGCCUGGUGUUGGUACAAAGUCUCUACUCUCCUCAAUUCCGCCGGACUCCAAGUCACGUCACUCGACAUGCCUGCGUCCGGCAUCGAUCCAAAGCAGGUGCUUGACAUCACUUCAGUUUCAGAAUAUGUUGAACCUUUGUUCCAAUUUCUACGUUCUUUGCCAGCAGAGGAACGAGUCAUCCUUGUGGGUCAUAGUUUUGGAGGCUUAUGCAUUUCUCUAGCCAUGGAAUCCUUCCCCCACAAAAUCGCUGCUGCGGUUUUCCUUACCGGUUGGAUGCCAGGUCCCCACCUCAGCUAUCUCUCACUGAUGCAAGAGUUCAAGCACAGGUUAAGCUUGAAAUUCAAUUUGGGCGCAAAGACUGUGUCUGAUGAAAAUACUAACAGUGAUGAUCCGAAGCCAUAUAUGACAUGUGAUCUUCAAAACUUAGCAUCCAACGUCUACCAACAAUCUCCACCCGAGGACCUGACCCUGGCGUUUUCACUUUUGAGACCCUUUCCCAUCUUCGGUGAUGAAGAUUUGCGAGAGAAUACACAACUCACGGAAGAAAAGCAUGGAACUGUGGCGAGAGUGUAUAUAGUGUGCGAACAAGACAAAAUAAUGGAGCAGGAUUUUCAAGUGUCGAUCGUUGAAAGAAAUCCUCCUAAUGAGGUUAAGGUGAUUGCUGGAGCUGAUCACAUGCCCAUGUUGUCUAAACCGCAAGAGCUUUUCUCUUACCUUCAACAGAUUGCCGACAACUAUUACUAGCAUUUCAGUGUUGAAUUUAUUUCUGCAAUUAUGUGUGAUCACCAUAAAGAUCAGCAAAUCAAUUUUAUUAUGGUUACCAGGUUUAGGUAUCACUUCUGGGGAGAUACAACACCAAUGAGACCUGAGCUCAACCACAUAAGGUAUUGAUACCACUCUCAACCUAAAACCUUAAGACAAUGAGUUUAUGGGUCUUUAUUCUUAUGUAGUGCUCCACUUUCUCAUUUCUAGCAAAUGUGGGACUUAGAAUCACACUUGA
This is an RNA transcript of Vigna unguiculata (cowpea), 1105 nucleotides long. It is a transcript of the gene named methyl jasmonate esterase 1-like, with no coding region annotated. Lineage: Eukaryota; Viridiplantae; Streptophyta; Magnoliopsida; Fabales; Fabaceae. The record is from RefSeq and is a predicted model, not a curated record.